Small nuclear RNA from Caretta caretta (loggerhead turtle), 187 nucleotides. RefSeq annotates it as U2 spliceosomal RNA. The record is from RefSeq and is a predicted model, not a curated record. Lineage: Eukaryota; Metazoa; Chordata; Testudines; Cheloniidae.
AUCGCUUCUCGGUCUCUAUGGCUCAGAUCAAGUGUCUGGUCUUCUCCGUUUAAUCUCCGGUGUGUUCUCCAGGCGAGAGCUUCAUAUUAAAUGGAGUUUUGGAACAGGGAGCGGGAUGAGGAGCUCGCUCCGUCCGCUCCACGCAUCAGCCCGGUGUUGCGGCGCUGCCGGGCGCGGUGCCCUUCCC